UGGAAUAUUCAUGGCAAAGUUCAGAGUGAACAUUUAUUGAAAACUUCUAUUAUGCACAGAACUGGGUGCCAUUUCAUGAAAAACUUCCUUUCUUCUAGAAGGACUUUAACUAUGCUAGAAUAGUCCUUCUAAUUCUUUACAUCACUUAUCAAGGCAAGGAGGUGGAAACACUUCUCCAAUUGGUAAAUUUUGAAGAAGCGUGACAAAAUUUCAUCUUGCCUUGAGUUGGAGCCAAGCAGAAAGGUGCACUCUUCUUGACCCUAUGCCAUGGAGUGCCUCCUGCAGUAGACACCUAUGGCAUUCUGUCAGUGCCUGGGUUGGAGUUUUUACAGUUUUGCAUCUAAAUCUGUGAUCCAUUGAGUCAUUUUUUUGAACCACUUGAAAAGCUGGAAUAGAAAGAGGAAGCUCUUUGCUGGGGGAAGAAAAAAAGGUCUGAGCUCAUUGAAUAAACUAACUUCUGGAGAAAAUCAACAACACUGAAAUGAAGAAUACAAGCCAGGAGGUAGGGGUUAGGAAGUGCAAAGAGAAGAGAAAAAAUGGGGAGUAUAUUGAGGU
Talpa occidentalis (Iberian mole) is the source of this 555-nucleotide long non-coding RNA. RefSeq lists it as uncharacterized. The transcript has 3 exons. Lineage: Eukaryota; Metazoa; Chordata; Mammalia; Eulipotyphla; Talpidae. The record is from RefSeq and is a predicted model, not a curated record.